UGGGGAAUUUUGGACAAUGGGCGCAAGCCUGAUCCAGCCAUGCCGCGUGAGUGACGAAGGCCUUAGGGUUGUAAAGCUCUUUUGGCGGGGAAGAUAAUGACGGUACCCGCAGAAUAAGCUCCGGCUAACUUCGUGCCAGCAGCCGCGGUAAUACGAAGGGAGCUAGCGUUGUUCGGAAUCACUGGGCGUAAAGCGCACGUAGGUGGGCAGUUAAGUCAGGGGUGAAAGCCCGAGGCUCAACCUCGGAAUUGCCUCUGAUACUGGCUGUCUAGAGUCCGAGAGAGGUGGGUGGAAUUCCUAGUGUAGAGGUGAAAUUCGUAGAUAUUAGGAAGAACACCGGUGGCGAAGGCGGCCCACUGGCUCGGUACUGACACUGAGGUGCGAAAGCGUGGGGAGCAAACAGGAUUAGAUACCCUUGUAGUCCCUGAGCGGGCUGGCAAGGCGCAU
RNAcentral lists this ribosomal RNA (447 nucleotides) under uncultured bacterium. Its description in RNAcentral is "bacterial SSU rRNA". It matches the Rfam family "Bacterial small subunit ribosomal RNA", at positions 355 to 825 of the family's 1533-position model. The record is from RNAcentral.